Molecule: ribosomal RNA, 441 nt
Filed under: uncultured bacterium
Lineage: Bacteria
Description: bacterial SSU rRNA
Rfam family: Bacterial small subunit ribosomal RNA
Source: RNAcentral
GGCGGCACGGGUGAGUAACGCGUAGAUAACCUGUCUUCAUGUCUGGAAUAAUACGCCGAAAGGGGUACUAAUACCGGAUAUCUUGCUUUCAUAAGUAUGCAAGCAAAGGUGGCCUCUGCAUAUGCUACUGCAUGAAGAGGGGUCUGCGUACCAUUAGCUAGUAGGUGGGGUAAUGGCCUACCUAGGCGACGAUGGUUAGCGGGUCUGAGAGGAUGAUCCGCCACACUGGCACUGGAACACGGGCCAGACUCCUACGGGAGGCAGCAGUGAGGAAUAUUGCGCAAUGGGGGAAACCCUGACGCAGCGACGCCGCGUGAGUAGAGGAAGGCCUUCGGGUCGUAAAGCUCUGUCAAGAGGAAAGAAGUGUACAAUGGCUAAUACCUGUUGUUAUUUGACGGUACCUCUAAAGGAAGCACCGGCUAACUCCGUGCCAGCCGCCGC